AACGAACGCUGGCGGCAUGCCUAACACAUGCAAGUCGAACGAGACCUUCGGGUCUAGUGGCGCACGGGUGCGUAACGCGUGGGAACCUGCCCUUAGGUUCGGAAUAACUCCCCGAAAGGGGUGCUAAUACCGGAUAAUGUCUUCGGACCAAAGAUUUAUCGCCUUUGGAUGGGCCCGCGUUGGAUUAGCUAGUUGGUAGGGUAAAAGCCUACCAAGGCGACGAUCCAUAGCUGGUCUGAGAGGAUGAUCAGCCACACUGGGACUGAGACACGGCCCAGACUCCUACGGGAGGCAGCAGUGGGGAAUAUGGGACAAUGGGCGAAAGCCUGAUCCAGCAAGGCCGCGUGAGUGAUGAAGGCCUUAGGGUUGUAAAGCUCUUUUACCCGGGAUGAUAAGGACAGUACCGGGAGAAUAAGCUCCGGCUAACUCCGU
This 432-nucleotide ribosomal RNA is filed under the name uncultured bacterium. RNAcentral's name for it is "partial 16S ribosomal RNA". It matches the Rfam family "Bacterial small subunit ribosomal RNA", at positions 29 to 506 of the family's 1533-position model. The record is from RNAcentral.